This 266-nucleotide ribosomal RNA is filed under the name uncultured bacterium. Its description in RNAcentral is "partial 16S ribosomal RNA". It matches the Rfam family "Bacterial small subunit ribosomal RNA", at positions 524 to 783 of the family's 1533-position model. The record is from RNAcentral.
UACGGAGGAUCCAAGCGUUAUCCGGAUUUAUUGGGUUUAAAGGGUGCGUAGGCGGCCUGUUAAGUCAGGGGUGAAAGACGGUAGCUCAACUAUCGCAGUGCCCUUGAUACUGAUGGGCUUGAAUAGACUAGAGGUAGGCGGAAUGUGACAAGUAGCGGUGAAAUGCUUAGAUAUGACACAGAACACCAAUUGCGAAGGCAGCUCACAAAAACUGUAAACUGACACUGAGGCACGAAAAGCGUGGGGGAGUCAAAACAGGAAUUAAG